UUUGUUAUCUGCUUCAGGCAGAUGAGAACUGAAAGUUCGAGCCGAGCGCAGCGAGACAACAUCGGAGCUUACGACGAUGGCUCGCAGGGGGAUAAUCUGCCUGGUCCUACCA
Molecule: small RNA, 112 nt
Filed under: Amphritea atlantica
Lineage: Bacteria; Pseudomonadati; Pseudomonadota; Gammaproteobacteria; Oceanospirillales; Oceanospirillaceae
Description: RtT sRNA
Rfam family: RtT RNA
About the family: This family represents a bacterial cis-regulatory element known as RtT RNA.
Source: RNAcentral